UACAGAGGUCCCAAGCGUUGUUCGGAUUCACUGGGCGUAAAGGGUGCGUAGGCGGUCGGGUAAGUCUGAUGUGAUAUCUCACAGCUUAACUGUGAAACUGCAUUGGAUACUAUCCGGCUCGAGGAAUGGAGGGGAGACUGGAAUACUUGGUGUAGCAGUGAAAUGCGUAGAUAUCGUGAGGAACACCAGAGGCGAAGGCGGUUUCCUGGACAGUUACUGACGCUCAGGCACGAAAGCAUGGGGAGCAAAAGGG
Molecule: ribosomal RNA, 253 nt
Filed under: uncultured bacterium
Lineage: Bacteria
Description: partial 16S ribosomal RNA
Rfam family: Bacterial small subunit ribosomal RNA
Source: RNAcentral